CCCUUAGAUGUCCUGGGCCGCACGCGCGCUACACUGACAUGUUCAACAAGCCUCCUAGUUCGACAGGAUUUGGGAAAUCUUUGAACGCAUGUCGUGAUAGGGAUAGAUCAUUGCAAUUAUUGAUCUUGAACGAGGAAUUCCUAGUAAACGCGAGUCAUCAGCUCGCAUUGAUUACGUCCCUGCCCUUUGUACACACCGCCCGUCGCACCUACCGAUUGAAUGUUUCGGUGAAGAUUCCGGAUAGGACUUUUUUGAUUUAUUUCAAUUUUGUCUUAAAAGCUAUCUAAACCUGAACAUUUAGAGGAAGGUGAAGUCGUAACA
This 321-nucleotide ribosomal RNA is filed under the name uncultured eukaryote. RNAcentral's name for it is "partial 18S ribosomal RNA". It matches the Rfam family "Eukaryotic small subunit ribosomal RNA", at positions 1470 to 1796 of the family's 1831-position model. The record is from RNAcentral.